This 305-nucleotide ribosomal RNA is filed under the name uncultured bacterium. RNAcentral's name for it is "bacterial SSU rRNA". It matches the Rfam family "Bacterial small subunit ribosomal RNA", at positions 335 to 657 of the family's 1533-position model. The record is from RNAcentral.
UCUCCUACGGGGGGCAGCAGUGGGGAAUAUUGCACAAUGGGGGAAACCCUGAUGCAGCGACGCCGCGUGAGUGAAGAAGUAUUUCGGUAUGUAAAGCUCUAUCAGCAGGGAAGAAAAUGACGGUACCUGAAUAAAAAGAACCGGCUAACUACGUGCAAGCAGCAGCGGUAAUACGUAGGGGGACAGCAUUAUCCGGAUUUACUGGGAGUAAAGGGAGCGCAGACGGCAGAGCAAGUCUGAAGUGAAAGCCCGCGGCCCAACUGCGGGACUGCUUUGGAACCUGCCCGGCUAGAGUGCUGGAGAGG